This 62-nucleotide transfer RNA is filed under the name Dipodomys ordii (Ord's kangaroo rat). It matches the Rfam family "tRNA", at positions 6 to 65 of the family's 71-position model. From Rfam's summary of the family: Transfer RNA (tRNA) molecules are approximately 80 nucleotides in length. Their secondary structure includes four short double-helical elements and three loops (D, anti-codon, and T loops). The record is from Rfam by way of RNAcentral. Lineage: Eukaryota; Metazoa; Chordata; Mammalia; Rodentia; Heteromyidae.
UAUGACUCAAGUGGUAGAGCAUUUGCCUAGAAAGUAAAAGGCCCUGAGUUCAAACCUUAGUA